RNAcentral lists this ribosomal RNA (448 nucleotides) under uncultured bacterium. RNAcentral describes it as "bacterial SSU rRNA". It matches the Rfam family "Bacterial small subunit ribosomal RNA", at positions 329 to 794 of the family's 1533-position model. The record is from RNAcentral.
AGCCAGACUCCUACGGGAGGCAGCAGUGGGGAAUAUUGCACAAUGGGCGAAAGCCUGAUGCAGCAACGCCGCGUGAAGGAAGACGGUUUUCGGAUUGUAAACUUCUGUUCUUAGUGAAGAAUAAUGACGGUAACUAAGGAGCAAGCCACGGCUAACUACGUGCCAGCAGCCGCGGUAAUACGUAGGGGGCAAGCGUUAUCCGGAUUUAUUGGGUUUAAAGGGUGCGCAGGCGGAAGAUCAAGUCAGCGGUAAAAUUGGGAGGCUCACCCUCUUCGAGCCGUUGAAACUGGUUUUCUUGAGUGAGCGAGAAGUAUGCGGAAUGCGUGGUGUAGCGGUGAAAUGCAUAGAUAUCACGCAGAACUCCGAUUGCGAAGGCAGCAUACCGGCGCGCAACUGACGCUCAUGCACGAAAGCGUGGGUAUCGAACAGGAUUAGAUACCCCCGUAGU